GGGGGACCUGCGGAAGGAUCAUUACAGUAUUCUUUUGCCAGCGCUUAACUGCGCGGCGAAAAACCUUACACACAGUGUCUUUUUGAUACAGAACUCUUGCUUUGGUUUGGCCUAGAGAUAGGUUGGGCCAGAGGUUUAACAAAACACAAUUUAAUUAUUUUUACAGUUAGUCAAAUUUUGAAUUAAUCUUCAAAACUUUCAACAACGGAUCUCUUGGUUCUCGCAUCGAUGAAGAACGCAGCGAAAUGCGAUAAGUAAUAUGAAUUGCAGAUUUUCGUGAAUCAUCGAAUCUUUGAACGCACAUUGCGCCCUCUGGUAUUCCAGAGGGCAUGCCUGUUUGAGCGUCAUUUCUCUCUCAAACCCCCGGGUUUGGUAUUGAGUGAUACUCUUAGUCGGACUAGGCGUUUGCUUGAAAAGUAUUGGCAUGGGUAGUACUGGAUAGUGCUGUCGACCUCUCAAUGUAUUAGGUUUAUCCAACUCGUUGAAUGGUGUGGCGGGAUAUUUCUGGUAUUGUUGGCCCGGCCUUACAACAACCAAACAAGUUUGACCUCAAAUCAGGUAGGAAUACCCGCUGAACUUAAGCAUAUCAAAAGUCGGGAGGAA
Molecule: ribosomal RNA, 603 nt
Filed under: Meyerozyma guilliermondii
Lineage: Eukaryota; Fungi; Ascomycota; Pichiomycetes; Serinales; Debaryomycetaceae
Description: eukaryotic LSU rRNA
Rfam family: 5.8S ribosomal RNA (bases 194-347)
Source: RNAcentral